This 306-nucleotide ribosomal RNA is filed under the name uncultured bacterium. RNAcentral's name for it is "bacterial SSU rRNA". It matches the Rfam family "Bacterial small subunit ribosomal RNA", at positions 28 to 333 of the family's 1533-position model. The record is from RNAcentral.
GACGAACGCUGGCGGCGUGCUUAACACAUGCAAGUCGAGCGAGGCCCUCCUUCGGGGGGUGCCCUACGCGGCGAACGGGUGAGUAACACGUGGGCGAACCUGCCCUCAGCUCUGGGAUAACUCCAAGAAAUUGGUGCUAAUACCGGAUGUGACCGCUGACCGCAUGGUCUGGUGGUGGAAAGAUUUAUCGGCUGAGGAUGGGCCCGCGGCCUAUCAGCUUGUUGGNGGGGUUACGGCCCACCAAGGCGACGACGGGUAGCCGGCCUGAGAGGGUGACCGGCCACACUGGGACUGAGACACGGCCCA